This is a non-coding RNA of Brachypodium distachyon (stiff brome), 126 nucleotides long. NCBI's taxonomy places the organism in Eukaryota, Viridiplantae, Streptophyta, Magnoliopsida, Poales, Poaceae. The record is from Rfam.
UAACUACUCCCUCCGUCCCAUAUUAGGUGACUCAAAUUUGUCCAAAUAUGAAUGUAUCUAUGCCUAAAAAACGUCUAGAUACAUAUAAUAGAAAAGUCACUUAAUACGGGACAGAGGGAGUACUAA